This 825-nucleotide ribosomal RNA is filed under the name uncultured bacterium. RNAcentral describes it as "bacterial SSU rRNA". It matches the Rfam family "Bacterial small subunit ribosomal RNA", at positions 1 to 796 of the family's 1533-position model. The record is from RNAcentral.
UAGAGUUUGAUCCUGGCUCAGGACGAACGCUGGCGGCGUGCCUAAUACAUGCAAGUCGAGCGCGGGAAGCAAACAGAUCUCCCUCGGGAGUGACGUUUGUGGAACGAGCGGCGGAUGGGUGAGUAUCACGUGGGCAACCUGCCUGUAAGAUCGGGAUAACUCGCGGAAACGUGAGCUAAUACCGGAUGAAGUCUUACGCCACCUGGCGUAAGGAUGAAAGAUGGCCUUUGUGCUAUCACUUACAGAUGGGCCCGCGGCGCAUUAGCUAGUUGGUAGGGUAAUGGUCUACCAAGGCGACGAUGCGUAGCCGACCUGAGAGGGUGAUCGGCCACACUGGGACUGAGACACGGCCCAGACUCCUACGGGAGGCAGCAGUAGGGAAUCUUCCGCAAUGGACGAAAGUCUGACGGAGCAACGCCGCGUGAGUGAUGAAGGUCUUCGGAUCGUAAAACUCUGUUGUCAGGGAAGAACAAGUGACGUUCGAAUAGGGCGUGACCUUGACGGUACCUGACCAGAAAGCCCCGGCUAACUACGUGCCAGCAGCCGCGGUAAUACGUAGGGGGCAAGCGUUGUCCGGAAUUAUUGGGCGUAAAGCGCGCGCAGGCGGUCCUUUAAGUCUGAUGUGAAAGCCCACGGCUUAACCGUGGAGGGUCAUUGGAAACUGAGGGACUUGAGUACAGAAGAGGAGAGUGGAAUUCCACGUGUAGCGGUGAAAUGCGUAGAGAUGUGGAGGAACACCAGUGGCGAAGGCGACUCUCUGGUCUGUAACUGACGCUGAGGUGCGAAAGCGUGGGUAGCAAACAGGAUUAGAUACCCUGGUAGUCC